CUGGCGGAGUGCCUAAUACAUGCAAGUCGAGCGAACGGACGAGAAGCUUGCUUCUCUGAUGUUAGCGGCGGACGGGUGAGUAACACGUGGAUAACCUACCUAUAAGACUGGGAUAACUUCGGGAAACCGGAGCUAAUACCGGAUAAUAUUUUGAACCGCAUGGUUCAAAAGUGAAAGACGGUCUUGCUGUCACUUAUAGAUGGAUCCGCGCUGCAUUAGCUAGUUGGUAAGGUAACGGCUUACCAAGGCAACGAUGCAUAGCCGACCUGAGAGGGUGAUCGGCCACACUGGAACUGAGACACGGUCCAGACUCCUACGGGAGGCAGCAGUAGGGAAUCUUCCGCAAUGGGCGAAAGCCUGACGGAGCAACGCCGCGUGAGUGAUGAAGGUCUUCGGAUCGUAAAACUCUGUUAUUAGGGAAGAACAUAUGUGUAAGUAACUGUGCACAUCUUGACGGUACCUAAUCAGAAAGCCACGGCUAACUACGUGCCAGCAGCCGCGGUAAUACGUAGGUGGCAAGCGUUAUCCGGAAUUAUUGGGCGUAAAGCGCGCGUAGGCGGUUUUUUAAGUCUGAUGUGAAAGCCCACGGCUCAACCGUGGAGGGUCAUUGGAAACUGGAAAACUUGAGUGCAGAAGAGGAAAGUGGAAUUCCAUGUGUAGCGGUGAAAUGCGCAGAGAUAUGGAGGAACACCAGUGGCGAAGGCGACUUUCUGGUCUGUAACUGACGCUGAUGUGCGAAAGC
This 742-nucleotide ribosomal RNA is filed under the name uncultured bacterium. RNAcentral's name for it is "bacterial SSU rRNA". It matches the Rfam family "Bacterial small subunit ribosomal RNA", at positions 36 to 760 of the family's 1533-position model. The record is from RNAcentral.